Molecule: ribosomal RNA, 397 nt
Filed under: uncultured bacterium
Lineage: Bacteria
Description: partial 16S ribosomal RNA
Rfam family: Bacterial small subunit ribosomal RNA
Source: RNAcentral
AUACGUAGGGGGCGAGCGUUGUCCGGAAUGAUUGGGCGUAAAGGGCGCGUAGGCGGCCUGUUAAGUCUGGAGUGAAAGUCCUGUUUUCAAGAUGGGAAUUGCUUUGGAUACUGAUGGGCUUGAGUGCAGGAGAGGUUAUCGGAAUUCCCGGUGUAGCGGUGAAAUGCGUAGAGAUCGGGAGGAACACCAGUGGCGAAGGCGGGUAACUGGACUGCAACUGGCGCUGAGGCGCGAAAGUGUGGGGAGCAAACAGGAUUAGAUACCCUGGUAGUCCACACUGUAAACGAUGAAUGCUAGGUGUAGGGGGUAUCGACCCCUUCUGUGCCGCAGUCAACACAAUAAGCAUUCCGCCUGGGGAGUACGGCCGCAAGGUUGAAACUCAAAGGAAUUGACGGGG